GGAUUCCCGUCGAGUAAGAACUAGCCAUUCGCUCGUAGCGAGUCUUGGAGGGCUAAAGGUAACUUUAGUCUUUAAGCGUAGACAGUUAGGUGGAGCAGCCGUCAAGGCUGAGAAUCUUAUGGAGUGGAAGUCUCCUGUCAUCAAUUGACCGAUUCGGAUGACUAGCAUAUCCAAUGCGUAACGGCCAAUGCAAGCAUGGUCCAAUCGCGGUUCU
RNAcentral lists this unclassified non-coding RNA (214 nucleotides) under Bacillus sp. OV166. Lineage: Bacteria; Bacillati; Bacillota; Bacilli; Caryophanales; Bacillaceae. The record is from RNAcentral.